Molecule: ribosomal RNA, 465 nt
Filed under: uncultured bacterium
Lineage: Bacteria
Description: partial 16S ribosomal RNA
Rfam family: Bacterial small subunit ribosomal RNA
Source: RNAcentral
AUGCACGCUGGCGGCGUGCUUAACCCAUGCAAGUCGAACGGAAAGGCCCAAGCUUGCUUGGGUACUCGAGUGGCGAACGGGUGAGUAACACGUGGGUGAUCUGCCCUGCACUUCGGGAUAAGCCUGGGAAACUGGGUCUAAUACCGGAUAGGACCACAUUUUGGAUGGUGUGGUGGAAAGUUUUUCGGUGUGGGAUGAGCUCGCGGCCUAUCAGCUUGUUGGUGGGGUAAUGGCCUACCAAGGCGUCGACGGGUAGCCGGCCUGAGAGGGUGUACGGCCACAUUGGGACUGAGAUACGGCCCAGACUCCUACGGGAGGCAGCAGUGGGGAAUAUUGCACAAUGGGCGCAAGCCUGAUGCAGCGACGCCGCGUGGGGGAUGACGGCCUUCGGGUUGUAAACUCCUUUCGCUAGGGACGAAGCGUUAUGUGACGGUACCUGGAGAAGAAGCACCGGCUAACUACGUG